This is a non-coding RNA of Phrynosoma platyrhinos (Desert horned lizard), 73 nucleotides long. The record is from the annotation of a GenBank genome assembly. Lineage: Eukaryota; Metazoa; Chordata; Lepidosauria; Squamata; Phrynosomatidae.
UCCACUGUGGCAUAGUGGUUUGAGUGCUAGACUAGAACAUUGGGAGACCAGGGUUCAAAUCCCUGCUCAGCCA